RNAcentral lists this long non-coding RNA (1577 nucleotides) under Helianthus annuus (common sunflower). RNAcentral's name for it is "hypothetical non coding rna". The record is from RNAcentral. Lineage: Eukaryota; Viridiplantae; Streptophyta; Magnoliopsida; Asterales; Asteraceae.
GUUUUCUAUUUUGCCUUUCAAAAGAAAACGCUUUCUUUGUUUCUUUGAUUUAUAGUUUUUUUUACCAAUAAUUCUUUUCAUUUGUUAUUUUCUCAAUCAACAGUAGCUCUAUACGUGAAACAAACAAUCCAUAAACCGUUUGACGAAAUUUCGUUCACAUUCCAUUCAUUUAAUAAAUGAAUGAACAUGAACACAUUUUAUUCAUUUGAUUAAACGAACGAACAUGAACACAUAUUUUGUGCGUUCAGUUACGUUCGUAAUUUACGUUCAUUUGCAUUCGUCUAUGUUUAUUCCAUUAAGCAAAUCAAUAUGAAACGAAUGAUUGAUUAGGUACAAAUUUCCAUUUUACCGGUCGUCAGACUUUUUAUUUCUUCCAUUCUAUUUAUUUUUUUCUCCCAUUUUAAUUUCAUUUAAUUCUGGGCACGUGAAUUUAAUUAUUAAAAUAUAUUCAUACUUUUUUUACAGAUCGUGAACAGGAAAAUUAAAUAUGCACGUUGAUCCUAUUUGUUACUUAUAAUAAAUUUUUCAUAAGAGUGAGCAAAAUCAAUGGAGCCAAAUAAAAUUUCAAAAACAAAAGACAUGUGUAAACAUGAAUAUAUAAUAUUGUUUGUUGUGAUACUUUUAAAAACCCAAACCCUUUGUGUUAAGCAUUGUUUGUUGGCUAAACAUCAGUGUACAGUUACAUAUUAGCAACUAUUUGGAUUAGUUUUCAAGGAUUUGUUAAAGAAACAAGAUAUCUUGUUUUGUUAGAAAAACAAUACUGAAUCGAUUGAUUAAAAACAAUAGAUAGCUUUAUAUAAGAAUAAUUAUAUUAACAUUGAGUUCAUUGAAUAAGAAUAAUACCAAAGAAGGCUAAUAUGUUGGUUUAAGAAGAGACGCAAAUAAGAUUAAAUAAAAAACACUAUUUUAGUAAAUAGUUUUCAAGGAACACCAUUUUGGUAAAUAUUUUCUUCACCAACACUAGUUUGGUUAAAAACUCCGCAUCAUAUAAGCCUAUACGAUGCGUAUUAGGUUGUCUAUCAAACCUGACAGAUAGGGUUCAAAUGCAAACCCUAUACGGAUCGUAUAUGUCUAUACGAUCCGUAUUAUAGUACGUGUUGGAUCAGUUCUGUUUAAACAUAAUGGAAAACAUGAAUAAUACCUGUUACAGCAGAUAACCCAGCAGAGAAUCCAGUCAGGGAUGCAGCCAUCGAGUUAGUCAUGAUUGUUAGGAUGAUCUGGUUCCUCCUUAGGGUGUAAGUUAUGAUGGUGAUGAAACCGAAACUAGGGUGAGAAUCGGUUAUAGGGAGAGAGCCGAAUUCUUUGAUGUUAUGAGGGUUGUGAUUGUGUAAUGUGUGUAACCCUUUAACUCUCUAAUAAGCCCCUUAUUUAUACACCCAAGAGGAAACCCAAUUAGUUAAUAAGGGUAAUAUGGUCCAUCAACAAUUACCAACUAAUUAUUAAUAGGUUAAUAAAUAUAUUUUGAUCUAAUAUAAUAUAAAUGAUUAUAUAGGCUACAAGAUUAAAUAUUACAUUUAUAUAUUUAAUCUCACAUUCUCCCACUUAGCCAAGUAAUCAUUUAUCAUGAGUAUUAGGUA